Molecule: ribosomal RNA, 253 nt
Filed under: uncultured Oscillospiraceae bacterium
Lineage: Bacteria; Bacillati; Bacillota; Clostridia; Eubacteriales; Oscillospiraceae
Description: partial 16S ribosomal RNA
Rfam family: Bacterial small subunit ribosomal RNA
Source: RNAcentral
UACGGAGGAUGCGAGCGUUAUCCGGAUUUAUUGGGUUUAAAGGGUGCGUAGGCGGGCUGUUAAGUCAGAUGUGAAAUCCCGCGGCUCAACCGCGGAACUGCAUUUGAAACUGUGCUUCUUGAGUGCUGGAGAGGCAGACGGAAUUCCUAGUGUAGCGGUGAAAUGCGUAGAUAUUAGGAGGAACACCAGUGGCGAAGGCGGUCUGCUGGACAGCAACUGACGGUGAGGCGCGAAAGCGUGGGGAGCAAACAGG